GAUUAACGCUGGCGGCAUGCCUAAUACAUGCAAGUCGAACGGAAGCAGCAAUGCUUUAGUGGCGAACGGGUGAGUAACACGUAGGGAACCUACCUAUACGACGAGGAUAACUACUGGAAACGGUAGCUAAAACUGGAUAGGAUCAAUUGAGGCAUCUUGAUUGAUUUAAAGAUCCUUCGGGAUUACGUAGAGAUGGCCCUGCGGCGCAUUAGCUAGUUGGUGAGGUAACGGCCCACCAAGGCGACGAUGCGUAGCUGAGCUGAGAGGCUAAACAGCCACACUGGGACUGAGACACGGCCCAGACUCCUACGGGAGGCAGCAGUAGGGAAUUUUCGGCAAUGGGGGAAACCCUGACCGAGCAACGCCGCGUGAGUGACGAAGG
RNAcentral lists this ribosomal RNA (382 nucleotides) under uncultured bacterium. RNAcentral's name for it is "bacterial SSU rRNA". It matches the Rfam family "Bacterial small subunit ribosomal RNA", at positions 28 to 414 of the family's 1533-position model. The record is from RNAcentral.